GUGCAACCAGAUUUUAAUGUGAUGGAGAAGUCAUUGGCAUUGAUAGAUACAUGGCGAGAAGCUGUAGGGGGACCAAGGGGAAGGUAUCCUCAAUACUAUUCUGCAUACAAUGAGUUGAAGACUGCUGGAGUUUGCUUUCCACCCCGAGAAAGAAAAGAGUGUACCAUUUUUCACUUCGCUCCAAUCUCAUGGAGUUCAUUCUGCCUCAGCAUUCGGCAGUGCUGAAAUUAACAUAAACAUAUCAUUGUCUGUUUAAAUCUUUUUGCAGCUGUUGGUGAUAUGAGUCUGUAUACUUAGCUUGCUUGGAAACUUCCAUUAAAAGAUGAACUUAAUUGGAGGACCUUAAUUUUCUAGCUAGCAUUAUGUCCCUCAGAAAGCAUAUCAUUGUCUGUUGAGCUGAUGAUUAGUUUUACUGAAAUUGAUCUAACGGGGCAUAGUUUAGAUCUUAAGCUUGGUAUAUGAGUGUGACAAAGAGGAUGCAAUAGGUUCUCAGUAAGAACUGGAAUUGAUCUCCCCUUUUAGUAAGUUCUAUGUCACUUCAGCACCCUUAUGUGGGAGGAUGGCUUUUUUGAAAUCGGAGGUACAUUGCUCCUCUUUUAUAAAUUAUGAUGCGAUGUUAUGGUCACCAGUUAGUGGGUUUGGGUAUGUUGAGGAUGCCGUGCUGUUUGCGACAGAGAUGAACAAAGUAUCUCAUUGAAUUAGCCUUGGAACGCCGCCUUUUUCG
This is a long non-coding RNA of Syzygium oleosum, 724 nucleotides long. RefSeq lists it as uncharacterized. The transcript has 2 exons. NCBI's taxonomy places the organism in Eukaryota, Viridiplantae, Streptophyta, Magnoliopsida, Myrtales, Myrtaceae. The record is from RefSeq and is a predicted model, not a curated record.